AGGGGAGGUCAAAGGAGUUGACUUUUUAUACGUUCAUAAUUGGGGAAAACUUCCUUCAUGAAAGUUGUAGAGCUCGUCGAUACGAUCUCGUGCAUAUGUGGUAUGCAAAAAUCAGAGUUCGUAUGAAUUAGUUAUGAUUUUUUUGAAAAAGUUUCCAGUUUAGUAUAAAGCUGCCAUUUUUGGAAAUUACCAAAAAUAAUUUCAGUUCCAUUUCUGGAAACCGAACUCUCUCUCUCUUGCGCGCGUCCGAGCCCAGAAAAAACAGAGCAAAGCUCUCCGGCCGAGUUCUCCCUCCUCCGGCCACCAAUCGACACCAGACCACCUCCCUUGCCUUCGCCUCGACGCCGCCUACCUGCUAGACGUGAUCACUUCCACCGGAACGGCCUCAAAUCCGGCAGUCGGAGCCGCAAACUUUGAAACAAAAAUCGGUCAACGCCGGUUUUCUCCUAGCUCCGGCCACCAAAACUCACGAUCCUUAGCUCCCUGAACUCGCCUCAACCUUCUGAUCAUCAUUCUAGAAGGAUCGCACCUGGAGUGAUCGGAUUCACGUUCGUCGGAGCUCGCCGGAUUCUGGAAAUUUUCCACCACCACCGAAGCUUUUGAUAGAAGGAAUCGAAGCCUGAAAUUGAAGUUUUGACGUCGAAAUCAAGCCUUGCCGGAUUCUGCAAAAUUCUGGAAUUUUUCCGACCACCGAAGCUUUCGAUCGGUAUAUCUCGAGCUACAGACCAUAUUUUUCUGUGAUUCUUGAACCAGUGAGUUCUUCUUGAGUUUCUUAACAACUCUUCAGAAGGAAUCGAAGCCUUAAAUUGACGUUUUUACGUCGAAUUGGAGCUCGCCGUUUUCUGCAGUUUCUCGCCGGUUUCUGGAAAAUUCCGGCCACCUUCAUACUGUUCAAGGUGAUCGACGGUUUGAUUUGGCGGACGAUUCGUGAAAUUGUAUUUUGAGCUGUUAAGAAGACGCAGCGGGAAUUUAGAGCGGGUAAUCCUACAGGUCAGGAGAACCAGGACGGUGAUCGGGCUGCUUAGAGUAGUGUUAUGUGAAUUACAGCAUUAUAUUGUGAGGUUUGUUAUGCUCAUUUAGAGCUUUACGAUUUUACUUUGUAAGAGUGAAUUGUAAUAAUUAACUCGAGGUUUUCGAGUUUUGUGUUGA
Rosa rugosa (rugosa rose) is the source of this 1149-nucleotide long non-coding RNA. RefSeq lists it as uncharacterized. The transcript has 4 exons. Lineage: Eukaryota; Viridiplantae; Streptophyta; Magnoliopsida; Rosales; Rosaceae. The record is from RefSeq and is a predicted model, not a curated record.